GAUCAUGGCUCAGGACGAACGCUGGCGGCGUGCUUAACACAUGCAAGUCGAACGAGGAUUAGCGGAUUGAGAGUUCGACAGGAUUGAAGCUAAUUCGAGUGGCGGACGGGUGAGUAACGCGUGAGCAAUCUGUCCCAGACAGGGGGAUAACACUUGGAAACAGGUGCUAAUACCGCAUAAGACCACGGCAUCGCAUGGUGCAGGGGUAAAAGGAGGAAUCCGGUUUGGGGUGAGUUCGCGUCCGAUUAGAUAGUUGGUGAGGUAACGGCCCACCAAGUCGACGAUCGGUAGCCGACCUGAGAGGGUGAUCGGCCACAUUGGAACUGAGAGACGGUCCAAACUCCUACGGGAGGCAGCAGUGGGGAAUAUUGGGCAAUGGGCGAAAGCCUGACCCAGCAACACCGCGUGAGUGAUGAAGGCCUUCGGGUUGUAAAGCUCUGUUAUAGGGGACGAAGGAAGUGACGGUACCCUAUAAGGAAGCCCCGGCUAACUACGUGCCAGCCGCUGC
RNAcentral lists this ribosomal RNA (508 nucleotides) under uncultured bacterium. RNAcentral's name for it is "bacterial SSU rRNA". It matches the Rfam family "Bacterial small subunit ribosomal RNA", at positions 15 to 518 of the family's 1533-position model. The record is from RNAcentral.